GAAACACAUUGACAUUCAUCAACAAAAGCAAAAAAAAAAAAGAUUUGCCUGUUCAUGAUGAAAAAUUUCAUGAUGUUUUGCAGAAAGAAACAUAGAGAGAGAUUUGAUCAAAAACUAUUGCAGAUUUGGAAUUUUCAAAGUAGAAAAAGAAUGUGCACGAAUCGUGCAUUCAUGUAGAAAAGAUUUGAAUCUUUUUUUUCGAUUAGAUAUCCAUAUCAUAUCAGAAUUACUUUUUUUUCCAAAAUUCAUUCUUGAUUGAAGAUUAUCACCAUCAUCAAUGGUUUCUGUAUUCACAUUUGAACACACAUUGUUGGAUCAUUGUUGUUGAAAGUAUAUUUUGAUGAUCAAAUUUCAAUGAUAAACCACACCACCAAAUGAUUUCCGUAUUAAACAAAAAAAAAAAAAAAAAAUCAGUACGACGACGAUGAUAUAUUUUCGAGAAUGACAAAUAUAUGACUUUUUUUUUGAUCGAAAACCACACAUUUUUUAUCUUUUUUCAUUCAGAAAGAUUUUUUUCCGUGGAUAUCAAUUCCUUUUUUUCGUUGUAAGUAAAAAAAAAAUUCUACAAUUUGACACCUGAAUGUUAAAAGGGUCAUGAUCAGCAACAACAAUUUUUCAAGCAUCAACGAAACGGACACCUUUGUGUGUUAUAUUUUAUAUUUCAUCCGACCAGAAAAGAAAAGAUAUCCGGAAAAUAACAGCCAAAAAAAAAACACCACACAAUGUGAUAAGAUUAAUUGCUCAAUUUCAUAUUCGUAUGAAUCUCUGAGUGUUAGAAGGGUGGUAUGAACAAUUUUGUUGUCCUAAAUGCCAAUCUUGAUAUUUGAUCUCUAUUUCUCUCUCUCUCUCUGUUUGUUCUAAAUUAAUAGACCAAAAGA
Non-coding RNA from Dermatophagoides farinae (American house dust mite), 878 nucleotides. The record is from RefSeq and is a predicted model, not a curated record. NCBI's taxonomy places the organism in Eukaryota, Metazoa, Arthropoda, Arachnida, Sarcoptiformes, Pyroglyphidae.